This 433-nucleotide ribosomal RNA is filed under the name uncultured bacterium. Its description in RNAcentral is "partial 16S ribosomal RNA". It matches the Rfam family "Bacterial small subunit ribosomal RNA", at positions 29 to 507 of the family's 1533-position model. The record is from RNAcentral.
AGCGAACGCUGGCGGCAGGCUUAACACAUGCAAGUCGAACGGGCACUUCGGUGCUAGUGGCAGGCGGGUGAGUAACACGUGGGAACGUACCUUUCGGUUCGGAAUAAUCCAGGGAAACUUGGACUAAUACCGGAUACGCCCUUCGGGGGAAAGAUUCAUCGCCGAUAGAUCGGCCCGCGUCUGAUUAGCUAGUUGGUGAGGUAAUGGCUCACCAAGGCGACGAUCAGUAGCUGGUCUGAGAGGAUGAUCAGCCACAUUGGGACUGAGACACGGCCCAAACUCCUACGGGAGGCAGCAGUGGGGAAUAUUGGACAAUGGGCGCAAGCCUGAUCCAGCCAUGCCGCGUGAGUGAUGAAGGCCUUAGGGUUGUAAAGCUCUUUUGUCCGGGAAGAUAAUGACUGUACCGGAAGAAUAAGCCCCGGCUAACUUCGUG